AUGAAUUUUAAACAACUUGAUCAUGAGCAUGUUGCCCAAUAUUGGGAAAGAAUGAAAUUGAUGCUUCGCAAUUGCCCUACUCAUGGUUUGAAUUUAUGGAUGAUCAUACAAAAAUUUUAUGUCGGAUUGAAUUUUGCUUCUAGAAAUCUUUUAGAUUGGGCCGCGCGAGGCACGUUUAUGGAAAUUACGUUAGGAGAUGCUACAAAAUUGCUUGACAAUAUUAUGGCUAAUUAUUCUCAAUGGCACACCGAAAGAUCUUCUAGUAAAAAAGUGCAUGCUAUAGAAGAAAUUAGUGUUUUGAGUGAAAAGAUGGAUGAACUUAUGAAGAUGUUUGCUCCUAAAAAUACUCCUCUUGAUCCCAAUGAUAUGCCUUUAUCUACUUUGCUUGAGAAUAAUAAUGAAUCUAUGGAUGUGAUUUUUUUUGGUAGGAAUAGUUUUGGAAACAAUGCUUAUAGAGGGAAUUUUAAUCCUAGGCCUUAUCCUAGUAAUCCUUCUAAUAAUUAUGGAAAUUCCUAA
This 516-nucleotide ribosomal RNA is filed under the name Triticum aestivum (bread wheat). RNAcentral describes it as "partial small subunit ribosomal RNA". The record is from RNAcentral. Lineage: Eukaryota; Viridiplantae; Streptophyta; Magnoliopsida; Poales; Poaceae.